GAAUUAGAGACCCCACCCUUCACCAAGCAGGUCGCAGGGCAGAGAGAGCAUGGGCUUGGAAGAGGGGCAGACCUCUGGAUGAUUUGGGGUGCCCUGUACUCCUGUGGAACUCACGUCUUUGAACUUCAGUUUAGUUGAGUCCACACAAAUGUCCCUGGCUGGUGAAUGGUCUUCUGUCACACAGGGACCUGAGGACAGAGGCCUCCAUCCCGUGGCUGUUCCGUACCCUGGGGCCUGGAGGCCUCAAGAGAGACAGGGUGGAGAAGCCUCGCCUGCUUCUUAAAGCCCCUGCCUUGAAUUUACACACAUCACUUCUCAUUUUCCAAUGGCAAAACUUAGGCCCGCAGCCAUUCUGGGAACAAAGUGGGUGGGACAUGCCGUUCCUGAUGGGUAGCAGCACCAGGACCAGCUCCACUGCAUGGAAUAAUGAACCCACAGCUUUGGUGAAUAGGCAGCCACCUCUGCCACAUAUCAUAGCUUGUUGGGUGGUUGUGAAGCUUGAAUAUUAUAACACAUGUGAAGCAUUAACCUUGGAGUGCCCUGCAGUGCAGGAUAAAUGCUGUUAUUUAGUUAAGUUA
This 578-nucleotide long non-coding RNA is filed under the name Homo sapiens (human). Its description in RNAcentral is "novel transcript". Lineage: Eukaryota; Metazoa; Chordata; Mammalia; Primates; Hominidae. The record is from RNAcentral.